RNAcentral lists this ribosomal RNA (115 nucleotides) under Periophthalmus magnuspinnatus. The record is from RNAcentral. Lineage: Eukaryota; Metazoa; Chordata; Actinopteri; Gobiiformes; Gobiidae.
GUUGGCAGCCGUACCACCAUUAUAAUACCCAAUCUCGUUUGAUCUCAGAAGCUAAGCGGGGUUGGCCCUGGUUAGUGCUUGGAUGGGAGACUGCUGGGCAUACCGCGCGCCACAG